UACGUAGGUGGCAAGCGUUGUCCGGAUUUAUUGGGUUUAAAGGGUGCGUAGGCGGUCGUAUAAGUCAGUGCUGAAAUAUCCCGGCUUAACCGGGAGGGUGGCAUUGAUACUGCAUGACUUGAGUAAAGUUGAGGUUGGCGGAAUUGACGGUGUAGCGGUGAAAUGCUUAGAUAUCGUCAAGAACACCUAUUGCGAAGGCAGCUAACUAAGCUUUAACUGACGCUGAGGCACGAAAGUGUGGGGAGCAAACAGG
Molecule: ribosomal RNA, 253 nt
Filed under: uncultured bacterium
Lineage: Bacteria
Description: partial 16S ribosomal RNA
Rfam family: Bacterial small subunit ribosomal RNA
Source: RNAcentral